Molecule: ribosomal RNA, 497 nt
Filed under: uncultured bacterium
Lineage: Bacteria
Description: partial 16S ribosomal RNA
Rfam family: Bacterial small subunit ribosomal RNA
Source: RNAcentral
GAUGAACGCUGGCGGCGUGCCUAAUACAUGCAAGUCGAGCGAACGGACGAGAAGCUUGCUUCUCUGAUGUUAGCGGCGGACGGGUGAGUAACACGUGGAUAACCUACCUAUCAGACUGGGAUAACUUCGGGAAACCGUAGCUAAUACCGGAUAAUAUUUUGAACCGCAUGGUUCAAAAGUGAAAGACGGUCUUGCUGUCACUUAUAGAUGGAUCCGCGCUGCUUUAGCUAGUUGGUAAGGUAACGGCUUACCAAGGCAACGAUGCGUAGCCGACCUGUGAGGGGGAUCGGCCACACUGGAACGGAGACAGGGUCCAGACUCCUACGGGAGGCAGCAGUAGGGAAUCUUCCGCAAUGGGCGAAAGCCUGACGGAGCAACGCCGCGUGAGUGAUGAAGGUCUUCGGAUCGUAAAGCUCUGUUAUUAGGGAAGAACAUAUGUGGAAGUAACUGUGCACAUCUUGACGGUACCUAAUCAGAAAGCCACGGCUAACUACGUG